CCUACGGGGGGCAGCAGUGGGGGAUAUUGCACAAUGGGGGGAACCCUGAUGCAGCGACGCCGCGUGGGUGAAGGAGCGUUUCGGCGCGUAAAGCCCUAUCGGCAGGGAAGAAGAUGACGGUACCUGACCAAGAACGCCCGGCUAACCACGUACCAGCAGACGCGGGAAUACGUGGGGGGCAAGCGUUCGCCGGAUUUACUGGGGGUAAAGGGGGCGGAGACGGCACUGCAAGACAGGAGUGAAAGCCCGGGGCCCAACCCCGGGUAUGCUCUUGGAACUGCAUGGCUGGAGUACAGGAGGGGCAGGCGGAAUUCCUAGUGUAGCGGUGAAAUGCGUAGAUAUUAGGAGGAACACCGGGGGCGAAGGCGGCCUGCUGGACUGUGACUGACGUUGAGGCCCGAAGGCGUGGGGAGCAAACAGGAUUAGAUACCCCGGUAGUC
RNAcentral lists this ribosomal RNA (440 nucleotides) under uncultured bacterium. RNAcentral's name for it is "partial 16S ribosomal RNA". It matches the Rfam family "Bacterial small subunit ribosomal RNA", at positions 338 to 795 of the family's 1533-position model. The record is from RNAcentral.